UAAGUUGCCUCCUUUAUUUCUUACUUCUCUUUGUGACAUCAUCAUUGUCCACAUCAUCUGGCCCCUGGUCCCAUCUGUCUUGGGCAGGUGGCUGGAAAUUUGAGCCAGUGUCCCGGGGAGAUACUACCAGACUUCCUCCACGGAAGACAGGAGCAUAAAUGACUGGAAGAGCGGAGAGCUGGAUGGAGUAUGGUGCAAGGAACAGGAGAAACUGCAACUGUAGCAGCAUUCCUUCCCCCCAGGAAUGUGACAAAGAUGAGCACCAUUCCAACACCUGUUGCUGAGGCACUUUCCAGGGGUCUAGCUGUGGAGGCCCCUACUCUUCUCUAGAGCAGGCACUUCAAUCUUCAGGCCAAAACUAAAAUGUCUGCAUGACCACACUGCCAGGUUGCCCAAGAUUGGCUGACUUUGUAUGCAUCCUGAUUAAAAAUGGCAUCUUGCUCUCUG
This 447-nucleotide long non-coding RNA is filed under the name Homo sapiens (human). RNAcentral describes it as "non-protein coding lnc-PIEZO2-2:5". Lineage: Eukaryota; Metazoa; Chordata; Mammalia; Primates; Hominidae. The record is from RNAcentral.